GCCUAACACAUGCAAGUCGAGCGGAGAUUAAGAAGCUUGCUUCUUAAUCUUAGCGGCGGACGGGUGAGUAACGCGUGGGUAACCUGCCCUAUACACACGGAUAACAUAUCGAAAGAUAUGCUAAUACGAGAUAAUACAUUUUUAAGGCAUCUUAGAAAUGUCAAAGAUUUUAUCGGUGUAGGAUGGACCCGCGUCCCAUUAGCUAGUUGGUGAGGUAAAAGCUCACCAAGGCGACGAUGGGUAGCCGACCUGAGAGGGUGAUCGGCCACACUGGAACUGAGACACGGUCCAGACUCCUACGGGAGGCAGCAGUGGGGAAUAUUGCACAAUGGGGGAAACCCUGAUGCAGCAACGCCGCGUGAGCGAUGAAGGCCUUCGGGUCGUAAAGCUCUGUCCUAAGGGAAGAUAAUGACGGUACCUUAGGAGGAAGCCCCGG
RNAcentral lists this ribosomal RNA (436 nucleotides) under uncultured Gram-positive bacterium. Its description in RNAcentral is "bacterial SSU rRNA". It matches the Rfam family "Bacterial small subunit ribosomal RNA", at positions 46 to 496 of the family's 1533-position model. The record is from RNAcentral.